UACAGAGGGUGCAAGCGUUAAUCGGAAUUACUGGGCGUAAAGCGUGCGCAGGCGGUUAUAUAAGACAGAUGUGAAAUCCCCGGGCUCAACCUGGGAACUGCAUUUGUGACUGUAUAGCUAGAGUACGGCAGAGGGGGAUGGAAUUCCGCGUGUAGCAGUGAAAUGCGUAGAUAUGCGGAGGAACACCAAUGGCGAAGGCAAUCCCCUGGGCCUGUACUGACGCUCAUGCACGAAAGCGUGGGGAGCAAACAGG
Molecule: ribosomal RNA, 253 nt
Filed under: uncultured bacterium
Lineage: Bacteria
Description: partial 16S ribosomal RNA
Rfam family: Bacterial small subunit ribosomal RNA
Source: RNAcentral